UACGUAGGAUGCAAGCGUUGUCCGGAAUUAUUGGGCGUAAAGAGCGCGCAGGCGGUAUGACAAGUCAGAUGUGAAAGAGGCCGGCUUAACCGGCAAGGGUCAUUUGAAACUGUCAGACUAGAGUGCAGCAGAGGAUAGUGGAAUUCCCGGUGUAGUGGUGAAAUGCGUAGAUAUCGGGAGGAACACCAGUGGCGAAGGCGACUAUCUGGGCUGCAACUGACGCUGAGGCACGAAAGUGUGGGGAUCAAACAGG
This 253-nucleotide ribosomal RNA is filed under the name uncultured bacterium. Its description in RNAcentral is "partial 16S ribosomal RNA". It matches the Rfam family "Bacterial small subunit ribosomal RNA", at positions 524 to 776 of the family's 1533-position model. The record is from RNAcentral.